CGUGCCUGCUUCCCAAGCGCGCUCGCUUCCCGGCCUCCCCCGCGCAUGGCCAGCCCUGAGGACACUGGAGACUGCAAGAUGGCGUCGCUAGGGUGUCAACUUUGAAGACAGGGUUCCUGCUGCUGCUCAUUGUGUCCUUCGUCUUGGACAACAGCAUCGUGGCCACAGACCACAAAUGCUGCCUGAUCCUCUUCAGCUACGACGACCACGGUGGCCUGAGCUUCGUGUCCAAGUUUGACAUCCCCAAGCAGAACACCCAGCACAGCAUGGACAAGAGGGCCACCAGCAAGGAGAUGGUGCACCAGAACAGCAUCACAUGGGUCUGGUUGACAGAUUGGAGAUGGUCGUGAGCCACCGUGUAGGUGCUGGGACUCGAACUCAGGACCUCUGGAAGUACAGCCAGCACUCUCACCCUCUGAGCCCUUCCCUGCAGCCCCCCUGACCUUGAGCUUGUAACCUCCAGCCUCCACCUUCAGAUGGCUAGGGUUCUAUGCAAGCACCAGCACCCAGUAUAUGUGGCAUUGGGGACCCGGCCAGGGCCUUGUAUAGUCUCGGGCCUGCCCAAUGGGCCACAUCACGGCCAGGUGUCCAUUUGUGAGGUGGACAAGCAGGACUGUUGCAAAUUAUGCACCACCGGCAUAGAUGGGCCCAUGAGGAUCUGGGAUUUCAAGUUUCAUGGACUAGAAAGAGCAGUGGUACUGUUUUCUCCAAAGAUCCAUUAACGAUGCCAAUAAGGGAAACAGGAAACCUCUUCCACUGAAGAUAUUCUUUGAGGACGUCAUAAGCUGUGCCAAUGUAUGUGAAUAUAAAACCAAAAAUGACAUUCUGUGUUCAUGACUAGGAGAGAGACAGUUUGUAGAAUAAUGAAAUAUGGAGACAUGAGAAGUGGGUAGAGGAGAGAGAGUGAGAAUUUAGGCAGUGAUAUGUAGAAACAAUAUGUGUAUUCCAUGCUCAUAAAUGUAUUUACAGUGUGAUAUGUAGAAAACAAUAUGAAGCAAGAUUGUUCCACAUUAGCUACAGUGCCAAAAAAGAUAAAAUAUUUUUGUUAAAUUAUCCACUAACAUACAAUUUCAAUCCAAAUAUUCUUACCAUAAUUAAAUUGUUUUC
Long non-coding RNA from Psammomys obesus (fat sand rat), 1107 nucleotides. RefSeq lists it as uncharacterized. The record is from RefSeq and is a predicted model, not a curated record. The transcript has 7 exons. NCBI's taxonomy places the organism in Eukaryota, Metazoa, Chordata, Mammalia, Rodentia, Muridae.